GAUACGUAACGAUGCACCGCAGCUUCAUCGGAGGAUCUGCAGCACCGUCAGGCACUCUCAGACUUCACAUCAGCCCAGCUGUCAGGCCUAGCCUGGAUGGGGAAACUGAGUCAUCGAGCCAGAUGUGAUCUACAGGACCUGCAGCUUCGGGGACGUUGUGUAACCGUCACCGCAGCAACGUCAGGGGACCGAGUUACGCUGCCGCCACAUCUGCAGUGUGAACGCAAUCACCCCGUUUCCAAAUCACCCGCAACCAGGUCCCGGCUUCGCCGCGACUUCCCAGCACGGCGAGGUCCUGACUGUGCCGCUGGGCUGUUUUGCAAACGCCCGUCAGCGGGACAGCGCCUCUGCUCAGCUCCCACGUUUUCUCGCCCGAAUGACCCGACCCACGGCAGCCGCGGCGGUGCCGAGCAGCGGGCCAGCUCGGGAAAGUGCGGUCCCACGGGCUGCUGCAGGCAGCGGAGCUCCCGCUCCUUCUGGGCCCCCUUUCCCUUCGCAGGGAAGGAAGGAAGAAGCAUUGUAACCCCGUUCGGCAGCUUGAAACAAUCGCGUCGCGCGGAGCCAAUUUAGAAAAAAAGAAAAAGGUGCCCGGCGUGCGCGGCGCUGAGCAAGUGCCCGCGUGAACGCCGCCGCCAGCCGAGCGGAGCCCUCUCGCCCCCCACUUCCCCGCGGGGGGGGGCACGUCCGAGCGCGUGGCUUUCGGUGUGUGUGUUUUCAGCCAAAUUAUCAGAACUUUUCCAUUUGAUUGCACGGCGACGUAAAGACUUGUUGUCAGCACUGGAAAGUUGGCAGUCGUUAGCAGCCCCUGCACUAUCAGGUUUUAACCUCACUAUUGUACAAGGCUCGGGGAUAAGCGGCCCUGAAAGCCGUAGCCCUGACGUUGCAGCGCAGGAGGCCCCGGACUUUCUCCCCGCGGAGGGGCCGGGUGGGCGCCCGCGUCCCGCCCUGCGCAGGCCACGCGGGGCCGGGGCCGGGGCCAGCACGCGGCGAGGGGAAAGGCUCCCACGCGGGAGCGACCGCAGGCCGCCUCCCUCCGCUCGCAGUGCGAUGGCGCCCGGCUCUGACCUCCAGCCUCUUCCAGGGGUCCCAGGGCAAAGCGAGUCGCCUCAGAGCAGCGACUCUGAGCAGAGCCAGGCGCCCCCCUGCCGCCCCCCCACGUGGGUUCUCUGAUGUCUGCUAGGGGCUGAGCUCAGCGGCCUCGCACUACUGGGCGCUCGCUCUUCCAUCCAGCUGCCUCUUGCUGUGCAAUUCAGCGGCACUUUGCACCUCGCCUCGCUGCCAAACCUGGCUGCAACUGCCCGACACGUCUAGAGAUUACCGGCAGGGACAGGCGGGCGGGCAGGCGACAGAAGACGCACAGCCAGCAGUAACCCAGCUGGGGCGCCCAGGGGGUUUUCCCAGAAGCAAACGUUUUGGCAGCGGAAAGCAAGGGAGACCAGAGCUGCAAAGGGAGAAAAGUAAAACCAAAUAAAACAGAAGAACACGUGCGACUCCGCUGCGUGCAGACUAAACCUCACUGAUAAGCGCUUGCAGGCCACAGCCAGCUUUAUCUGGUGCAUUUCGGAUGUUUA
This is a long non-coding RNA of Dromaius novaehollandiae (emu), 1571 nucleotides long. RefSeq lists it as uncharacterized. The transcript has 3 exons. The record is from RefSeq and is a predicted model, not a curated record. NCBI's taxonomy places the organism in Eukaryota, Metazoa, Chordata, Aves, Casuariiformes, Dromaiidae.